This 465-nucleotide ribosomal RNA is filed under the name uncultured bacterium. Its description in RNAcentral is "partial 16S ribosomal RNA". It matches the Rfam family "Bacterial small subunit ribosomal RNA", at positions 28 to 507 of the family's 1533-position model. The record is from RNAcentral.
GAUGAACGCUGGCGGCGUGCUUAACACAUGCAAGUCGAACGGAAAGGCUCCUGCUUGCAUGGUUUCUCGAGUGGCGAACGGGUGAGUAACACGUGGGUGAUCUGCCCUUCACUUCGGGAUAAGCCUGGGAAACUGGGGCUAAUACCGGAUAGGACGAUGUUUUGGAUGCCAUUGUGGAAAGUUUUUCGGUGUGGGAUGAGCUCGCGGCCUAUCAGCUUGUUGGUGGGGUAAUGGCCUACGAAGGCGUCGACGGGUAGCCGGCCUGAGAGGGUGUACGGCCACAUUGGGCCUGAGAGACGGCGCAGACUCCUACGGGAGGCAGCAGUGGGGAACCUUGCACAAUGGGGGCACGUCUGAUGCAGCGAUGCCGCGUGGGGGAUGAUGGCCUUCGGGUUGUAAACUUCUUUCGAUAGGGACGAAGAGCAAGUGACGGUACCUGGAGAAGAAGCACCGGCUAACUACGUG